ACUAUUGAGAGUAGCUCGCGAAGGGUAUGGGUAUAAGUGUCCCUCCAAUCUGAGAUCACCAUGGUGACUUGUAAGCAACUCACUGUACUUUGAUAUUGAAUCAUCUAAAUUUUUAAUUUAGUGAUGAAAGAUUACUGAGUACAGUCAUAUUUAUCAAGUCAGUAUGCGAGUCAAGAUAGAAUUGAUCCCUCCGAAUAAGUAGGAGUUAUGCAUCAGCAUAUUUCAAUUUAGUAAAACCUUGACUAGGAUAAUUCAUUUGAUGGAUUUGAAAGGUUGAAAUAUAAUAUGUGAGACUAUUUUACGGUUGACAAUCAAAUCCUAGGUCAUCUUAAGCAUUAGGGUCAAAGGAAUGAAUUAUACGAUAACUAUACGCCAGU
Molecule: long non-coding RNA, 377 nt
Filed under: Elaeis guineensis (African oil palm)
Lineage: Eukaryota; Viridiplantae; Streptophyta; Magnoliopsida; Arecales; Arecaceae
Description: long non-coding RNA (EGUI_LNC066970)
Source: RNAcentral